UACAGAGGGUGCAAGCGUUAAUCGGAUUUACUGGGCGUAAAGGGUGCGUAGGUGGCUUUGUAAGUCAGUGGUGAAAUCUCGGAGCUUAACUCCGAAACUGCCAUUGAUACUGCUUAGCUUGAAUCAAGUAGAGGUGGAUGGAAUAAUACAUGUAGCGGUGAAAUGCUUAGAUAUGUAUUAGAACACCGAUUGCGAAGGCAGUUCACUAUGCUUGUAUUGACACUGAGGCACGAAAGCGUGGGGAUCAAACAGG
Molecule: ribosomal RNA, 253 nt
Filed under: uncultured bacterium
Lineage: Bacteria
Description: partial 16S ribosomal RNA
Rfam family: Bacterial small subunit ribosomal RNA
Source: RNAcentral